This 68-nucleotide transfer RNA is filed under the name Lophoceros camurus (red-billed dwarf hornbill). RNAcentral's name for it is "Tockus camurus (red-billed dwarf hornbill) tRNA-Lys". Lineage: Eukaryota; Metazoa; Chordata; Aves; Bucerotiformes; Bucerotidae. The record is from RNAcentral.
CAUUAAGAAGCUAUGAAUCAGCAUUAGCCUUUUAAGCUAAAGAAAGAGGAAUUGCUCCCUCCUUAAUG